Molecule: long non-coding RNA, 1006 nt
Organism: Paramisgurnus dabryanus
Lineage: Eukaryota; Metazoa; Chordata; Actinopteri; Cypriniformes; Cobitidae
Source: RefSeq, a predicted model, not a curated record
ACACUUAAUACAUUUUUAAAUCAAUCACUUUGUCUCUGCACAAUGAACAUUAUCAAAUAUUAUUAAUGUUGUAAAAUAUAUUGUUCAUUGUUAGUUCAUAUUAGCUAAGGCAUUACCAAAUGUUAAGGAAUAAACUCUUAUAGUAAAGUGUUACUAAAUUUUCUUUUACCAUUUCCUUCACAAUGUCUAUUUAUUUCUAUGGCUAACAGAUUUUGUAACAUUUGUCUUUUUUACAGUCUUACCAUUGCUUGUAAGCUGGAUUGGGUAAGAUGGAUCAUCUUUAAAGGCACCAGGAGUUAAGGCAGAUGUGGAGGCACAACGGGUGAUACCAGACACACACCAAGCACAUUAUGUUUGGACAUUCAAUCAUGACAUGAUCCAGGUGGAUGCUGUCCAUUGAGGAAAGAGUUUGUUCAGCGGUUUCUGGAUAGAAUUAAUUCCAAAGAUGGGAAAAAGUGCACAUGCAGACAAGGAGCAAGCAAAAAGACAAGGAACUUGGUGCAGAGAAAAGCUGUGGCCAUUAACCCCUGUGAACAGCUUCAUGCAGUCCCUGAUUGAGUUCGAAUGGACUUCUUCAAAGUAAAGGCCACUGUGGUCUGUCUGCCACAGUUUAAUUUUUAAUUUAUUUUUAGUGUUCAAUGAAAUUCAAGUAGAAUAUUUAAAACUAUGGGCCAGUGUUGUUUUUACCACGGUGAAAUGUUACCUUUUAGUCGAUGAUGGACUUUAAACUGAAAACUUCAAACUAUGGAACAGUGUUCUAUUUGCCAGAGUUAAAUAUGUUACAGCAGGGGUCUCCAAACUUGUUUAUACUUGUUGAUUUUAUUUUAUGUUACUUGAUUAUAUGUUUAUUAUUGUUUAAAAUCUUGUUUUAAAUAUGUUUGUUUCAAUUAAAUGUUUUUUUUAAUAAAAUUUUGAUACAAACAUUGCUUGGAUUGCCUUUUAAUUCAUUAUGUUUUAAUUUAGCAUUUUUACCAUAUUAAUAACUAUAGAUUUAAACCUAAAUCUC